ACGGAAGGCAGCAGGCGCGUAAAUUACCCAAUCCUGAUUCAGGGAGGUAGUGACAAGAAAUAACGGACUGAGGCCUACGCUUCAGGAUUGCAAUGAGUAGAAUUUAAACCCCUUUGCGAGGAUCAAUUGGAGGGCAAGUCUGGUGCCAGCAGCCGCGGUAAUUCCAGCUCCAAUAGCGUAUAUUAAAGUUGUUGCAGUUAAAAAGCUCGUAGUUGGACUUCUGGGAGGGUGCCAAUGUCCGCUUGUUAGCGUGUGCAGCGGCGCCCUUCCAUCCUUCUGUUAACGAUUCUUGGUAUUCACUUACUGGUUUCGGGCUCAGAUAUUUUACCUUGA
This 333-nucleotide ribosomal RNA is filed under the name Gonostomum namibiense. RNAcentral describes it as "SSU rRNA". It matches the Rfam family "Eukaryotic small subunit ribosomal RNA", at positions 418 to 760 of the family's 1831-position model. Lineage: Eukaryota; Ciliophora; Spirotrichea; Sporadotrichida; Gonostomatidae. The record is from RNAcentral.